This 189-nucleotide long non-coding RNA is filed under the name Propithecus coquereli (Coquerel's sifaka). RNAcentral's name for it is "Pvt1 onco conserved region 2 (ENSPCOG00000003047.1)". It matches the Rfam family "Pvt1 oncogene conserved region 2". Lineage: Eukaryota; Metazoa; Chordata; Mammalia; Primates; Indriidae. The record is from RNAcentral.
GACCUCAGCUGUCAGCAGUGCAGGAAGCUGACUAUUAAGGGGAAACAAAAGUGUUAUUAGGAGUCCUGCUGUCACUGUGGAUUGAGCCUGCAUCCUGAGCCCUGAGGCUGUCUCCGGUGGUGGACCUCCUCCUGGGUAGGGAUGGAUAGAGGAAGCAGCUAGAAGCCUUGGCAGUGAGGACUCCUAAGG